AGAUACGGUUUCCCCUGUGGGGCGGGUUCACAGGUGGUGCAUGGUUGUCGUCAGCUCGUGUCGUGAGAUGUUGGGUUAAGUCAACGCAACGAGCGCAACCCUCGUUGCCAUGUUGCCAGCACGUCGUGGUGGGGACUCAUGGGAGACUGCCGGGGUUCAACUCGGAGGAAGGUGAGGAGGACGUCAAAUCAUCAUGCCCUGUAUGUGGUGGGCUUCACGCAUGAUACAAUGGCCGGUACAAUGGGUUGCGAUAUGUGUGAGGUGGAGAUAAUCCCAAAAAGCCGGUCUCAGUUAGGAUUGGGGUCUGCAACUCGACCCCAUGAAGUGAGGAGUCGAGUAGUAAUCGCAGAUCAGCAACGCUGCGGUGAAUGCGUUCCCGGGCCUUGUACACACCGCGCGUCAAGUCACGAAAGUUGGUAACACUGAGAAGCGCGGUGGCUCUAACCCUUG
This 450-nucleotide ribosomal RNA is filed under the name Micrococcus sp. MG2-E7. RNAcentral's name for it is "bacterial SSU rRNA". It matches the Rfam family "Bacterial small subunit ribosomal RNA", at positions 1004 to 1444 of the family's 1533-position model. Lineage: Bacteria; Bacillati; Actinomycetota; Actinomycetes; Micrococcales; Micrococcaceae. The record is from RNAcentral.